CUUAGCCCGUUUGGGCUGGUCCUAGCUUGGCCAUGGGGUAGGCCAGUCCUAUAGUCUAGGCUGGGUAGGGUUCUCGGCGUGCCGAUUGGGCCCAAGCCCAGACCGCCACAGGCGCGGGUUGGGCUUAGCUCAAACCGAGCCUGCCCAAGCCCAUGACCCAAUCGGAUUGAGCCAGGCCGGACUGACCUAAUUUGCAGUACUAGUUUUUGACAUUGAAAUGGGUCUGAGUUGUACUUAUAGUUGAAUCUAGG
Molecule: long non-coding RNA, 251 nt
Filed under: Actinidia chinensis (golden kiwifruit)
Lineage: Eukaryota; Viridiplantae; Streptophyta; Magnoliopsida; Ericales; Actinidiaceae
Description: long non-coding RNA (ACHI_LNC006860)
Source: RNAcentral